Molecule: transfer RNA, 75 nt
Filed under: Candidatus Aenigmatarchaeota archaeon
Lineage: Archaea; Nanobdellati; Candidatus Aenigmatarchaeota
Description: tRNA-Glu
Rfam family: tRNA
About the family: Transfer RNA (tRNA) molecules are approximately 80 nucleotides in length. Their secondary structure includes four short double-helical elements and three loops (D, anti-codon, and T loops). Further hydrogen bonds mediate the characteristic L-shaped molecular structure. tRNAs have two regions of fundamental functional importance: the anti-codon, which is responsible for specific mRNA codon recognition, and the 3' end, to which the tRNAs corresponding amino acid is attached (by aminoacyl-tRNA synthetases). tRNAs cope with the degeneracy of the genetic code in two manners: having more than one tRNA (with a specific anti-codon) for a particular amino acid; and 'wobble' base-pairing, i.e. permitting non-standard base-pairing at the 3rd anti-codon position.
Source: RNAcentral
GCUCCCGUAGUCUAGCCCGGUCAAGGAUGCGGCCCUCUCGAGGCCGAAACGCGGGUUCGAAUCCCGCCGGGAGCA